UUGUCUCUUCCUCUCCGUCGUCUCUCCAUGGUGUGCUUGUUAUAAACUUAUGUAGCAGCGGACGUCAAUUUCAUGCAGCCGCCGACAUCAAAUUUGGUGGAGUGCUCUUAUGGGAUCUGAUACGAGUCGCUCCGAGAUCAGAUAAGGUAAUCACUCACCUACUCCUAUCAGAUCUAUAAGUUUUUUGUAUAGGGCACCCCAUGUGUUACUUUGAUCUAAUGAGGUUGAAAUACUAUGAAGCUCAUGGUGACAUAGCGAUAUAAUCAAGUUUUAAUGUACACUAGGAAUAUACCUGAUAUGAGUAGGAUAGAAAAAACAUUUGAAAUGGUAUUUUACUUGCAUAUAUUCAGUCAUUAGGCCUUUCCAUUUCUAAAAGAAAAGUGAUGUAUGUUGCCCUUAUUUUUCUGUGUAGGUUUGGGCAUGCCAGAGGAUCCAAUAAUAAAUAGCAAACGGAUCGUAUCGUACGCUGUGUAACAUAUACUAUACAUUCCAUCAGUUGCACUGGGAAACCUAGAAUGACUAUGUAUUAAUAAACCAUGUGUUAGUGAAGACACAAACUUGGAUGUAGAGCUCAUGUUUGUUAAGUUGUUUGGUUGUAUGUGUGACAUGGUUCAUAUACAUAUUGCUAGCUACUUUAUUUUUUGUUCAUUGAUAAUACUAUAUUUAAGAAAUUACCAUGUUAUUUUGGUUAACAUUGUCAUUUAGCAUACAAUACUAUUUUACCGCAUAGUUAUAGUUAUAUUUUCAAAUACAUUAUUAAUCAAUGUGCUUUAUAUUUUAUGCAGAACUUUCACUUAUUGGGAAGUGAACAAAUG
This 815-nucleotide long non-coding RNA is filed under the name Triticum aestivum (bread wheat). RNAcentral describes it as "long non-coding RNA (TAES_LNC008654)". Lineage: Eukaryota; Viridiplantae; Streptophyta; Magnoliopsida; Poales; Poaceae. The record is from RNAcentral.